AUUCUGAUUAACAGCAGAAGAAUGUCCAGCAGUGAUGAUGCAGAGGUCACGCACAUGUAAAAGGUUUAACUGGUGAACAUGGCCCAGAAAUUUGAAUUAUAACAGACAUGUGAUCAGAAAAGUUUAAACUGCAAAUUUGAAUAUCACAUAAUUACAGAGCACGAGAUAAGACUGAAUCCAAAGUAUGUCCACGCUCAUGGGAGGGGCCGCUGCCUGGUUGAACAAGAUUAAAGUCAGUAAGGUUCAGGAAGUCUUUUACAAGAGGUUUCAAAGCUGCCAUAAAUAUCAGCAGUGAGCAUUUAAAACUGUUAAAAUGGUGAAUUUGAAGUACUGUGGGUGUUGUGCUCCUGGAACCAUGAUUUCCCCAUGGGGACCUCCCCAAGGGAUUAUUGCAACAGAUGGUCGCCCCUCUCCGAGCCUGGUUCUGCUGGAGGUUUCUUCCUGUUAAAAGGCUUUAAACAAGUUUAUUCCUUCUCAUUGUUGCCUGUUUCAGUUUAAAUGUUGUUUUCAAU
Long non-coding RNA from Oreochromis aureus, 512 nucleotides. The record is from Ensembl. Lineage: Eukaryota; Metazoa; Chordata; Actinopteri; Cichliformes; Cichlidae.